Molecule: long non-coding RNA, 1021 nt
Filed under: Glycine max (soybean)
Lineage: Eukaryota; Viridiplantae; Streptophyta; Magnoliopsida; Fabales; Fabaceae
Description: long non-coding RNA (GMAX_LNC002361)
Source: RNAcentral
AUGCAAUUGGUGGUAAGCCUUUGAUUGGUCAUCUCAGGCAACGUUCAAAUGCAUGAAAUAAAGGUAAACAAUUGCCAAACAUCUAAAAUUUUCUAACCUGUUGAAAAUUCUUAGGCCCAGCUUAUUAGACAUCGUGUAUAGAUGUAGAGACGAAGUAUUUUUAACAUAUACAGUACAUAUAUUCGAUUCUGACAGUUUUAAUCUUAAACGAGUUUCUGUGUUAUUUAAUUAUAAAUAAUUAUUGAUAGGACUUAUAAGAUAAUUUUUAAAAAAAUUAAUAAAUUUAUUAUAAAUUAUACUUUUUAUUGAAUGAUAGUUUAAUUUAGUGCAAGAUCAUUUUUUUAAUAUUAAAUAGAAUACUUAUAGUAAGACAGCCUAGCUUAAAAUAUUUCUCCAACCCUAGCUUAUUCAAAAAGAGAGACUCCAAAGACUCUUUCUCUCUCUACUGAUAUGAGUUAGACAUGCAAAUUAUUAAAGUCUGUGAUGGGUUGGGAUGAUAAAACAAGGAAUGGGUCCAACUGUCUAUUAAAUUUUGAAUAAGUUAGUGAGCCAGUUUAAUGCCUUUGAUAGUGCUACAUAUAUAAUAUAUAAUUCAGCAAAUGCAAGUUGAUUGGUUGAGACUAUGAGUUGCCCUAUAAAAUAGCUACCCUUUUAUUUUUUUGGUGAGUCACACCUACUAUAACUAUAUAUGCAUAAUAUAUGUACAGUGUCUCGUACAUACACGAGGGAGAAGUGUGUGAGCUGAAAAGAUAUCGAAUGAUAUAAUAUGACUCCGCUUCAAAGCCAAUCAUUUUAUACAAGACUUUCAUCGAUCCCGUGCCAUACGCCCAUCACAUGCAUCACAUUCUCAAACCCAGUAGCCCUGAUUCCAUUUCCCAACGAUUUUUUGCAUAUAUAUAACAAAGCUGGCUGUCUUGUUUCUUUUGCCACCCCUAGGAUUAAAUAAAAUUGAUUUUGAAGUAACAUAAUUCAUAUUCAAUUUUUAAUUUUAUUUUAAAAGUAAGUCAGUAGAAACACUGGA